This is a non-coding RNA of Populus tomentosa, 71 nucleotides long. Lineage: Eukaryota; Viridiplantae; Streptophyta; Magnoliopsida; Malpighiales; Salicaceae. The record is from the annotation of a GenBank genome assembly.
AGGUGGUGGCUCAGUGGUAAGAGCUUAAGACCAAGACUCUAUGGUCUCAGGUUCGAGUCCUGGGUUGCUCA